UUCUGGGUUUGACAGCACACAGACUAAAAUGGGGUGAUACAGAGAAGACUAGCGUGGCCUCUGAGUCAGGGUGACAUGCAAAUUAGUGACUGACAUGCUCCUUAUUUUU
Molecule: small nuclear RNA, 109 nt
Organism: Nycticebus coucang (slow loris)
Lineage: Eukaryota; Metazoa; Chordata; Mammalia; Primates; Lorisidae
Source: RefSeq, a predicted model, not a curated record